This 1399-nucleotide long non-coding RNA is filed under the name Hordeum vulgare. RNAcentral describes it as "long non-coding RNA (HVUL_LNC014018)". The record is from RNAcentral. Lineage: Eukaryota; Viridiplantae; Streptophyta; Magnoliopsida; Poales; Poaceae.
GCCACUCUAACUUCAAGGACCACUACUUUGCGUUUCCACAUAUGAAUCGAGAUCAAGCUUUCUGUAACCAACGGCCUAUAUUUUGGUAUGGUACACACACAAAAGGCUAAAUUAAGAAGUACUCCCUCCGUUCCUAAAUAUAAGUCUUUCGAGAGAUUCAACUAAUGGACUACAUACGGAUGUAUAUAGAUAUACUUUAGAGUAUAGAUUCAUUCAUUUGGCUCCGUAUGUAUCAGGGGCGGGUCCACCUCAAUUCAAGGGUAUUCAGCUGAAUACCCAUUAAUUCGGGUAAAAAACCAGGUACACAUAGUAUCUAUGUUGUUGUGUAUAAGGAAGGGAAAAACGAAACUCGGAACACGUCCACCACAAGUCCACCACUAGCCGGUUAGCCCUUCUGUUCUGAACUUCUGAUACUUCUGACACAGGUUUUGUUCUCGAUUCUAGCAGGUCGCGGCAUUGUUGUAGUAUAAACAGGGGCAUAGUUUGAGCUCCUAUAAGUAAGUUAGUCUGACCACUUGUCUUUGUAUUUAAUUAUGGUGAAAUUAAAGACUUGCUUGCUGUCAAUUAUGAAAUGUUUAACCCUGAUUUUUUUUACGAAUCGUUUAGACAAGAGAAUUUGCUAUUUUUCAUUUGAGUUUGUAAUGCGAGUGUUUAUAAAUUUUGAGUGAUUGCUUGGUCACAAUGAUUGAAAGGAAAUUCUUCUUGCAAGUUAAGGAUGAUGACAUCAUCACUCAUUUUCAAAGUAUCAAGGACCGUAAAACUAUCCUGUAAUUUGUAUGGUUCCUUAUCAUUUUCUAUUCUAUCCUCUAUAAAUCUUAGAUUUUGUGAUGGUAUGUUGAACAAUUUUUUUACUUCUAUAUGUUGAACAAUACCAAAUCAUGAUAAUUUUUUAUAAAUAUAAUAUAAUAUGUGAGACCAUUUCUAUAUUUUAGAACUACUAUGAUAUGCUUCUAUGAUCGGUUAUACGUUCCAAAAGGAAGACUAUAAGCUUCAACUUUUUUUCAAAAUUUGAAUACACAAUCUUCAAUUCCUGAGCCCGCCCCUGGUAUGUAUACACCUAGUGAAAUAUCUUAAAAGACUUAUAUUUAAGUACGGAGGGAGUAGUACAUAUUUAGAUUUUAGGGUGUGUCUUAUUUAGUCAAAUGAAUGAGAGAUGUGGCCAGCCAGAAUUUAGUGAAGGUUUUGUAGGUCCAUGGUUGGGUCAAUAUUUGCGGGAAAACAUAACUGGUGGGCACAAUACGGCGUGGUUAUGAUGUUCAGUGAUUCUUGUUGUUGUUGUUGUUGAGAAUUUUGUGCACAAUGACAUGGAUUUGACACCUUAACAAGGUUUUUUUUAACACAGAUGCAAGGGCUCAUAUAUACACGAAUACAUUUAUAUGUAUAAAUACAAAUACGUACA